Molecule: long non-coding RNA, 551 nt
Organism: Boleophthalmus pectinirostris (great blue-spotted mudskipper)
Lineage: Eukaryota; Metazoa; Chordata; Actinopteri; Gobiiformes; Gobiidae
Exons: 3
Source: RefSeq, a predicted model, not a curated record
ACUCUUAUUGUUGCGGGUCAUUUCCGCUUCACCCCGAUCUCCCCACUUUAAGUUGCGGGGUCACAGUAUCACUUCCUCCUCCUCCGCUCCGCUGUGGCUGUGGCGGGUCUGGGCGUCGGCAAACUAUUGCAGUAAACUUUUAAACCAGGAAUCCUUUAACAUCCACAAUUGGAGCCGCCAUAUAGGUUAUACUCACCUGGCCGUGUAUGGAGAGGAAAUCGCAACGGGAAAUUCGAAGGUCAGGUUUUUUUCAAUGGACUGAUUCAACUCCAGCUCUGCAGAAACACUCAACUCAACAAGGAAAUGCAUGAUGGCGAGCUUACCCAACCUGAACUUAGAUUAGCCUAGAUCAAAACACUAAAUAACUGGACUGUUUUCGUUUUUUUAUUUAUUUUUUUGUUAUUGUUGUUCUGUCAAUUUAUUUUCAAUAUACUCCACCCAACUCCAUAUCCAUGUGUUACGUGUCUUCAUUCACACUCAGGCUCCUCAAAGAACAUUUCUUCUGAUGCUGCUUUUGUGGCCGUAGUCUGCCCCUAGCCCUAAAACAUUUU